RNAcentral lists this ribosomal RNA (413 nucleotides) under uncultured bacterium. Its description in RNAcentral is "bacterial SSU rRNA". It matches the Rfam family "Bacterial small subunit ribosomal RNA", at positions 505 to 916 of the family's 1533-position model. The record is from RNAcentral.
GUGUCAGCCGCCGCGGUAAUACGUAGGGGGCAAGCGUUAUCCGGAUUUACUGGGUGUAAAGGGAGCGUAGACGGUUAGGUAAGUCAGAUGUGAAAGCCCAGGGCUCAACCCUGGGACUGCGUUUGAAACUAUGUAACUGGAGUGCAGGAGAGGUAAGUGGAAUUCCUAGUGUAGCGGUGAAAUGCGUAGAUAUUAGGAGGAACACCAGUGGCGAAGGCGGCUUACUGGACUGUAACUGACGUUGAGGCUCGAAAGCGUGGGGAGCAAACAGGAUUAGAUACCCGGGUAGUCCACGCCGUAAACGAUGAAUACUAGGUGUUGGGGCCCAUAAGGGCUUCGGUGCCGUCGCAAACGCAUUAAGUAUUCCACCUGGGGAGUACGUUCGCAAGAAUGAAACUUAAAGGAAUUGACGG